AUUGAACGCUGGCGGCAGGCCUAACACAUGCAAGUCGAGCGGAUGAAGGGAGCUUGCUCCUGGAUUCAGCGGCGGACGGGUGAGUAAUGCCUAGGAAUCUGCCUGGUAGUGGGGGAUAACGUCCGGAAAUGGGCGCUAAUACCGCAUACGUCCUGAGGGAGAAAGUGGGGGAUCUUCGGACCUCACGCUAUCAGAUGAGCCAAGGUCGGAUUAGCUAGUUGGUGGGGUAAAGGCCUACCAAGGCGACGAUCCGUAACUGGUCUGAGAGGAUGAUCAGUCACACUGGAACUGAGACACGGUCCAGACUCCUACGGGAUGCAGCAGUGGGGAAUAUUGGACAAUGGGCGAAAGCCUGAUCCAGCCAUGCCGCGUGUGUGAAGAAGGUCUUCGGAUUGUAAAGCACUUUAAGUUGGGAGGAAGGGCAGUAAGUUAAUACCUUGCUGUUUUGACGUUACCAACAGAAUAAGCACCGGCUAACUUCGUG
Molecule: ribosomal RNA, 484 nt
Filed under: uncultured bacterium
Lineage: Bacteria
Description: partial 16S ribosomal RNA
Rfam family: Bacterial small subunit ribosomal RNA
Source: RNAcentral